UACAGAGGUCCCAAGCGUUGUUCGGAUUCACUGGGCGUAAAGGGUGCGUAGGUGGUGAGGUAAGUCGGGUGUGAAACCUCCAGGCUCAACCUCGAGACGUCGACGGAAACCGUCUGGCUAGAGUCCGGAAGAGGAGUGUGGAAUUCCUGGUGUAGCGGUGAAAUGCGCAGAUAUCAGGAAGAACACCUAUGGCGAAGGCAGCACUCUGGGACGGUACUGACGCUGAGACGCGAAAGCGUGGGGAGCGAACAGG
Molecule: ribosomal RNA, 253 nt
Filed under: uncultured bacterium
Lineage: Bacteria
Description: partial 16S ribosomal RNA
Rfam family: Bacterial small subunit ribosomal RNA
Source: RNAcentral